This 218-nucleotide unclassified non-coding RNA is filed under the name Hevea brasiliensis (rubber tree). The record is from RNAcentral. Lineage: Eukaryota; Viridiplantae; Streptophyta; Magnoliopsida; Malpighiales; Euphorbiaceae.
UGCAAAGAGUUUUGCCACUUCACCUAAACCAAACAAAUAUAUAAUUAUUGAUAAAUGACAAAAAAAUAACAUAUUAAGCAAAUUACAUGUACUAUAGUUGGUAUAUUCUCUUUCUUUAAAAUACUGGUACGUUGUUUAACUGUCAGGUUCAAGUUUGUUGGGAUCCAAAUAAUUUAUUCAAUGUGGAACUUCAUCAUAACCUAAUUCUUUCAAUACAA